Molecule: ribosomal RNA, 468 nt
Filed under: uncultured bacterium
Lineage: Bacteria
Description: partial 16S ribosomal RNA
Rfam family: Bacterial small subunit ribosomal RNA
Source: RNAcentral
GACGAACGCUGGCGGCGUGCUUAACACAUGCAAGUCGAACGGAAAGGCCCUGCUUUUGUGGGGUGCUCGAGUGGCGAACGGGUGAGUAACACGUGAGUAACCUGCCCCUGACUUUGGGAUAACUUCAGGAAACUGGGGCUAAUACCGGAUAGGAGCUCCUGCUGCAUGGUGGGGGUUGGAAAGUUUCGGCGGUUGGGGAUGGACUCGCGGCUUAUCAGCUUGUUGGUGGGGUAGUGGCUUACCAAGGCCUUGACGGGUAGCCGGCCUGAGAGGGUGACCGGCCACAUUGGGACUGAGAUACGGCCCAGACUCCUACGGGAGGCAGCGGUGGGGAAGAUUGCACAAUGGGCGGAAGCCUGAUGCAGCAACGCCGCGUGCGGGAUGACGGCCUUCGGGUUGUAAACCGCUUUCGCCUGUGACGAAGCGUGAGUGACGGUAAUGGGUAAAGAAGCACCGGCUAACUACGUG